Mauremys reevesii (Reeves's turtle) is the source of this 838-nucleotide long non-coding RNA. RefSeq lists it as uncharacterized. The record is from RefSeq and is a predicted model, not a curated record. The transcript has 3 exons. NCBI's taxonomy places the organism in Eukaryota, Metazoa, Chordata, Testudines, Geoemydidae.
CAGGCCGGCCAUGCCCGGAACUGCCGCCCAAGCAGAGGGCCGGAAGCGCUCUGUGAGAGGGGAAGCGAGGGCCGCCAUCUUGGGAGAGGCGGAAAGGCGGCCUCUAGCCUCCAUCGUGGGAAGGUCAAGCCCUGCAGAGCUACUGGAGAGGGAGCUGGGUUCUACUCUGGCUUGUGCCUCAGCUGAAGAGGCAUGAGCUACGUGCUGACUGGCGAAGCCAUCUUCUGCCCAGAUUCAAUUACCAGUGAUUUUUAUAGUGUAACCUGCCCCUUCACCAACAAUCCCUGCAAAACUCCAGCUAUGUUAGCCUGAUCAGUCUGUGCAGUGGAAAUAUGAGUUUGAAUUGCCUGUUAAAGUUGGUAAGCACUCCUGACUACAUGUACUGUUACAUGGGAGGAGAUUUAUCUUCUCCUAAGGGGGGACUGACUUUCAAAACACAAAGUACAGAGCAGUUCCAAUUGCAUGUGUGUUAUUUUGGCACUAACACUGCAGCUAUUUAAAUGAUCCACAGUGACAGCAGAAUUUAUGUUAAAUUGGGAGGAUAAAAUUGGAUUGGAAUUGGAUACUUGUCACUCAGACGUAUCAUUUGUCUCACUAUUUCACACCUUACAGAUGUUAAAUUCCAUGGUACCUAUAGAGUGACUGUUCUUAAUUGAGCAAAAGGCAUGUAAAUGCAUUGUAAUUAAUAUUACAUUAAAGUGGAAUUAAUCAUUUACAUUCAGUUGUGUUUGCAAAGUAGAAAUAAACAUGGAUCUGUGUGUGUUAUUGCACGGCAGAAGUGAGCAUGGACCAUAAGCCGUGUGUAUUCACAGUGUAGUAGCUAUGGGUAAAGUGCACC